UAACCUAAUAAGGAUUCAUUCUAUGCAGGGGUGUCAAACUCAUUUUCGCUGGGGGCCACAUCAUCCUCACGGUUUCCUAUUUCAAAGGGUCAAAAUAACUUUAGGACUGUAUAAAUGUAACUACUUCUUAACUGUUAAGGAGCUGAA
Molecule: long non-coding RNA, 147 nt
Organism: Phyllostomus discolor (pale spear-nosed bat)
Lineage: Eukaryota; Metazoa; Chordata; Mammalia; Chiroptera; Phyllostomidae
Exons: 3
Source: RefSeq, a predicted model, not a curated record